This 5168-nucleotide unclassified non-coding RNA is filed under the name Patiria miniata (bat star). RNAcentral describes it as "soluble scavenger receptor cysteine-rich domain- containing protein SSC5D-like, transcript variant X4". Lineage: Eukaryota; Metazoa; Echinodermata; Asteroidea; Valvatida; Asterinidae. The record is from RNAcentral.
ACGUUCCCGCUCGUUGGUGCACAGCCAAUAGGAAAUCGUCGGCAACGUUAAUUACGUUUGCGUUCUCGUAAGUGGAACUCAUACCAACGAUUGAAUAUUCGUGCGUCGGCGAGAGGAUGAUGCCAUGACGAGUUGACGACGACGAUGAUGUAGGCCCGUUUGGCUUCCAGACUCGAAUUAUUUUUGGGUGGUCAAAGUUGACAGCGUAAUGGCUACGGCCAGCUAUACCACCGCGCGGGUGCUUCAUUUCUUCGAACCACACACCCCUCUCUCCUAUUUUACAUCACAAUAAUAGGGAGGACAAUGGACAAUACUUUGUGCGUGGGGAACAACAAUAAUUGUGUGGCGCAACUGUGGGUUGACUUGCAACAAGGGCUAGCCUCACUGUCCUACUGUCAAUAUUAUCCACGUGUACAAUGUACACGGCGAGUUCACUCAACUGUUAUCACUGAGUGACUGCCAUGUUUUUGGCUAACCCAAAUACAUGCACUUCCCCCACGGUUCACUGAUCAUGGGUGUAGGCCAAAUAAUUUUUACAGCAACAAUGCAGAACCAUUGCUUAGUGUGUGAUUCAUACGUAGGGUAAUAACAAUUAAGGACUCGCCCUGAACAGUUAUUUGGAAAGUUCAUUCAUAACCUUUCCCUCUCUCCCGUGCAGAGUGAUUUUCUCUGCUUUCUUAGCCAUACAAUUUUAGACGGGUUCAUCAGAAGUCGUCACUGGCCUUUUGAUCACUUUCGUACCACCUCGGGGAUAACUUGAAAAAAUUAAUCGGCUGUGGACUCCAUGACGUUUGUGGAACUUGUGGAACUGUGAGUGGAAAUACAUCAACUGCGUGGAUCAGGGAAGCCAAUGCAAAAAAAAAUGGCCGAUGUUCGAAUUCACAACUGGUGGUUAAUUUGUGCUUUACUGCUUGAAAUCGGCAGUAAUUCUGCAGCUCUGGCAGCGGAGAAUGACCUUCAACUGGUUGGAAGUGAUCGAACCUUUGAAGGCAAAUUGAUGAUACAGCAUGCUGGGGCUUGGAGGACAGUGUGUUACGACGGAUGGACACAUGAGGAUGCAUCUACUGCUUGCAGGCAACUAGGAUACUCACAGGGUGCGAUGAUUACCAGAGCAAAUGAUGGAACUUUUGCUGGCCCAGCAGCUACCCCCACCCUUCGAUCACCGGGUUGCACUGCAUCACACCACCGGCUCACUGAUUGCACCGAUUUCCAGUAUCAGGAGAAUUUGACAUGCACCAGUGAGGUUGACUUGAGUUGCUAUGCCAAUGACUUCAAUGGUUGUUUCUCGAACACACCCCAAUCUUGGAAUAUGGAUGAAAAACUACCUGGUGCAUCAAAUAGCAUUGAGUCGUGUCUGGAUUUCUGCAGGAGCUCAUCACUCAAUCCAAGAUUUGCGGCACUUGCUGAAAGUCGGUGUUUUUGUGGCUCUGAUGAGGGUAACAUGGGUAGCGUUGUCUCCAAACUCAACUGUGCAUUGCCAUGCAGUGGGGACCCCAUGGAAGCAUGUGGAUCUAAUACUAAUGGCUACUUUGCAAUAUGGCCAGUUACUGUUGGUGCACCUGGGGGCGCAUGGACCACCGCAACUGGCUGUCUGUACUCGCGUGACUUCCCAGCUCGAUACCAGACCACGCGCAUGACAACCACUGAUGAGUACACAGUGACUCUACCCACGCGUGCCUACAUCUCUCUCAUGUUCAAGAGCUUCGACAUCUACAGCGGUGACAGCGUUAAGUUGAGAGACAAGUCCGCUGGGUCGGCAAUGACGACAGUGGAUCUGACUCCGCCCAGCUCGCCAGGGACUGCUGUCAUACCAUUGGAUUUUCGAGUGUCAAGAUUUUCACUGCUGUUCGUUUUGGCAGCCAACUCGCCUUCAGGGAGUAAUUAUGGUUUUGUCAUCUGCUAUGAAUCACUUGUGGAACUUCCUACCGAACCCCCUACUGUACCUUCAACUGUGCCUCCUACUGUGCCAGCAACUGACCCACCAACUGACCCACCAAUUGACCCACCAACCAUCCCCCUGACAGCUCCCCAAACCGAUGCUCCACAGCCACAGACCUUGCCUCCAGUUGGCCCUACUAUUGGUCAGCCCACAGACUCUCCGGAUUCAUGGACGACUCCCAGUCCAGAUGCUAUAAUGAGUACCGAUGUGCUGGCCAUUGAUAGCACCUCGGAACCACCAACUAGUACAAUUGAUGACCAAGAUACGGUCAUGAUGUGUCCUGCUUAUCAGGGGGCUCCUCUGGAAAACAGAACGGGUAGCGAAACAAUGACUGACAUUCUUCUCAUCAACACUGGCAAUCCCUUCAACUGCAGUGGUUUCUUGACCAACAUUAGUUAUUUUUCUGCUGGCGACCAUGCAUUGGAAGUCAGUAUAUGGCAACCUAAUCACAAUGGAGACACAGAUGAGUGGCUGUACAGCUUAUCUGCCACGGCCGCUCUAGAAGGAGCACACCCGGGGAUUGCAUCAGUUUCACUCAACAGGGAUGACUGGCUUCCUUUUGGUCCUGGGGAUGUGAUGGGAAUCCGCUUUCAGACCUCACCACUGAUGUUCAGCGAUGUAAUCUCAUCAGAUGAGGAAGCCACACUUUGGAUGAGAUGGAAUCUUGAAGAUGGAAGUGUAGCUGGCUCCAUCAUGGAGAAGAGGGACACGGUCAAUGCCACUGCUCUCAACCGUACUUACUCCAUCUCUGCAACCUUGAGAGACAAAGCUCACUGUUUGGUCCCUAAUGUUCCCAACGUUGCUUCCACCGAUGCCAUUGUACCUUACGUGUACGAGGGAGACGACUACUUACUAGAUUGCAGAGCGGGCUACCGACCAGUUGGAGGGCGAGUUUACAUGUGUCAAUCUACUGGGAGAUUUGAUAGAAACUUGGAAUGCCAAGACGAUGGAAGUUCCCCAUUACCAAUCUUCACCGUGGUGAUCCUGUGUGUUGUUGUCUUGGUAUUGAUCUGUCUGACUGUGUUUGUCAUCACCUGCAUGAUGAUGUGUUGCAGUUCUGGGGCCAAGCGCUCUGGGGAAUCUGCACCUGCCAAUGUGAAGACGGAGGCUGACACCAGCUCCAAGUCUAUAGACCAGCCAGAUGCUGGCAUGGGUGAUACCAAUAGCAUGGAUGACAACCAAUUCCUCAUCAACAUUGACUCAGAAAAUGGCGAGCCAGAUGAAGUUGCCAACCCUGUGGCAGAACAGGGUUUGGAAGUGCCAGCGCCUGAGGAGACUUCACCCCUACCGGACUCAGAUGCCCACGGCAUGGAGAAUGGCAUUGCUAACCCAGAGGCCAAUGUGGAGGGCACCCCAGUCAUGGAGAACCCUGUUCAUGAUUCUGAUGUCUAAAUUUAACAACUGCCUGUGAACAUCUGAAGAAAUGCUUUACAUGUUCUGGUGAGUUGUGGUGAUAUUCCUGGCUUAAAAGGAUGUGUUGGAGUAAAGGAGAGAUGUAUUCACAACAUCCUAUGAAGUUGAAGGUGUGUCGCAUGACCUGAUGAUGGAUGAGUAUGCCAAUGUAAAACCGUGUCUAAGCACAAGUUAUUAUAUGGGAUACUGUUACAAGUUUCCCAACAUUGUUAGUACAUUAUCUUUAAAACUGUGGUGGUGGUCAUUUAAGUAUUCAUCAAAAGGAAAUUCAUAUACACUCAAGACAGUUUACCCAUUCCUACUGGUCAAGAGCCUGUCACAUAGGUGGUUUUAAAUGGUUGAUAAAACACCAACUGGUUUUAUACACUUUUCCCCGGCACUGCUUUGUUCUGCGCCACAUUGUGCAGUAUGCACCACGCGUGUGCGAAUCUCCAUGGACUUAUUCACGAGAAAGCCAUUUUGGUCGGGUUCCCUGAAUGUAUUUUAUUAACCCUAACUUCCUAGGGGGUGUGCAAAAUUGUUGCAUGGGAGGAUGCCAGAUUAUUUAUACAUUCUAGCCUCACUUUCAUUUUUUGUGACUUAAACAUUAGGGUAUAUUUAAUCACAAAUUGUACAUUAUUCAUUAGAGCAGACUGGUAUAAUGCGUCAUUAACUUUGUCAUUACUUUCAUUUCUCUUCGCAAGUUCUAAAAAUGAAGAUUUUACCUCACUUUACAUUCAAUAUGGCCGACUUGUGAAUAAGGCCCAUAUAAAGAAAUUUUUAGUACUACUCACGUGAGGCACAUACCAUAAAGCUGGAGGGGUGUUUCACAAAACAUGAAGUAAACUUGUUAAAGAAAAUCGUUGGAAAUUUAUAAUUUGUGACUUGUUUUGAUUUUUUGACCGAAAGGUACAGGAAUAAAUAUGUGCUUUGCCGGCAUUAAACAAGUACUUUCAAAACCCGGUAGGAGCUUGUUCACAGAUUAUCCACGUACUUGUUUAAAACCGGCCAUCACAAAUGUAUUCCCCUUUUAAUAUACUGGGUGUUUUAAAAAAAAAAAGAUAAUCCUAAUUUAAAGGGUUAAUACGGCCAGAAUAUAUGUUUACCAGCAGAAAGUAAAAGCUACAUGCUUUUCAAUGAUACCUUGGUUACUUUCCAGGGUCAUGCAUUAUUGAGCUCCAUUUUCUUGAAAACAUGGUGCAAAAUUGGGGUUGGUUCACUUUCUUGUCAAACAAUAUCGACACAGUGUGCUGGAAGACAUUCAAGAUGAAAGAGCACAACCACUUACAAAAUUGAAGAAGACUCAGGUUCUUGUAUAAUCUUGAAUUUUAUUCAUGAGUACUAGUUCAACUUUCCACUUGCAACACCAGGAAAAUGUAAUCUUCAGUUUAUCUGUGGUGGGCUCAAGAUGGCACACCAGCCCACCAUUUCCUUGCUGUUCGAAAUCGCCUGUGGGAAUGCUUUCACAAACGAGACUUUGCCACCCCGGUAGUCCCCAGGCCACCAGACCUCAUGCCAUGUGACUUUUUUGGGGGGGUCAUUUGAAGAACAAAGUGUUCAGCACCCUACUGCGCAACAUGCAGGAUUUGCGUAACUGGCUUUGGUGCGAAGUGGAUAUUUUGUGAGAAGAUCCAGAUACCGUGAGCUGUGGACAACAUGCGGCGUCGAUGUCAACUGUGUUUGGAGAGGGGAGACCAGGAGAGUGCCUUGGCAAGUGAGGGAAAAUCAGAAACUUAUGCUUAAAAAUGUUUCACUCAUUAAUAAAAUUGACCUAUCGCUGUUUACCAACCCCCUUAGACAACCCUAUGGAAUUCUUGUUCGUAAGUUUUUUUGUCUC